ACGCGCUUCGGCGCACCCAGAAACCCUUUGUGAACUUAUACCUAUUUGUUGCCUCGGCGUAGGCCGGCCUCUUCACUGAGGCCCCCUGGAAACAGGGAGCAGCCCGCCGGCGGCCAACUAAACUCUUGUUUCUAUAGUGAAUCUCUGAGUAAAAACAUAAAUGAAUCAAAACUUUCAACAACGGAUCUCUUGGUUCUGGCAUCGAUGAAGAACGCAGCGAAAUGCGAUAAGUAAUGUGAAUUGCAGAAUUCAGUGAAUCAUCGAAUCUUUGAACGCACAUUGCGCCCUCUGGUAUUCCGGAGGGCAUGCCUGUUCGAGCGUCAUUUCAACCCUCAAGCCUGGCUUGGUGAUGGGGCACUGCCUUCUAACGAGGGCAGGCCCUGAAAUCUAGUGGCGAGCUCGCUAGGACCCCGAGCGUAGUAGUUAUAUCUCGUUCUGGAAGGCCCUGGCGGUGCCCUGCCGUUAAACCCCCAACUUCUGAAAAUUUGACCUCGGAUCAGGUAGGAAUACCCGC
This 514-nucleotide ribosomal RNA is filed under the name Dothideomycetes sp. MS125b. RNAcentral describes it as "eukaryotic LSU rRNA". The stretch from base 170 to 323 matches the Rfam family "5.8S ribosomal RNA". RNAcentral also lists the same sequence under 1 other name. Lineage: Eukaryota; Fungi; Ascomycota; Dothideomycetes. The record is from RNAcentral.